UCUGGGACGGAAGGAUUCGAACCUCCGAGUAACGGGACCAAAACCCGUU
RNAcentral lists this transfer RNA (49 nucleotides) under Trimezia candida. Its description in RNAcentral is "Neomarica candida partial tRNA-Gln". Lineage: Eukaryota; Viridiplantae; Streptophyta; Magnoliopsida; Asparagales; Iridaceae. The record is from RNAcentral.